AAAAUUUACAGCUAACGUUAAAUGCAGCUGACUGGAAGGGCUUUCAUCACAAAUGUGGAGAAAACUUUGUGAAAUAUCACAAAUCAAGCCAAGGGAAAGACUUCAGGUCAUUUGUACAACUUGCACCCUUUACAGUUCAUCACGCAGGAUUUAGUAAAGAAAUAGUAAAACUUUGGUGUCUAUUGUCUGAGAUUGUUCAGUUGAGUAACAAAAUGAAAUUGCUGGAAUCGGAACUCACUAGGCUGGGUGAUCUGCAGUACCAAUUUAAUGAAAACAUUUACAAGCAGUUUCCAGAAACAUUGAAAAAACAGAAAAUACACCAUAAUCUCCAUACUGAGCAACAAAUCAGACUUCAUGGGGUCCCUAUA
This is a long non-coding RNA of Mytilus californianus (California mussel), 368 nucleotides long. RefSeq lists it as uncharacterized. The record is from RefSeq and is a predicted model, not a curated record. The transcript has 3 exons. Lineage: Eukaryota; Metazoa; Mollusca; Bivalvia; Mytilida; Mytilidae.